This 468-nucleotide ribosomal RNA is filed under the name Fusarium oxysporum f. sp. ciceris. Its description in RNAcentral is "eukaryotic LSU rRNA". The stretch from base 133 to 286 matches the Rfam family "5.8S ribosomal RNA". The record is from RNAcentral. Lineage: Eukaryota; Fungi; Ascomycota; Sordariomycetes; Hypocreales; Nectriaceae.
AAAACCCCUGUGAACAUACCACUUGUUGCCUCGGCGGAUCAGCCCGCUCCCGGUAAAACGGGACGGCCCGCCAGAGGACCCCUAAACUCUGUUUCUAUAUGUAACUUCUGAGUAAAACCAUAAAUAAAUCAAAACUUUCAACAACGGAUCUCUUGGUUCUGGCAUCGAUGAAGAACGCAGCAAAAUGCGAUAAGUAAUGUGAAUUGCAGAAUUCAGUGAAUCAUCGAAUCUUUGAACGCACAUUGCGCCCGCCAGUAUUCUGGCGGGCAUGCCUGUUCGAGCGUCAUUUCAACCCUCAAGCACAGCUUGGUGUUGGGACUCGCGUUAAUUCGCGUUCCUCAAAUUGAUUGGCGGUCACGUCGAGCUUCCAUAGCGUAGUAGUAAAACCCUCGUUACUGGUAAUCGUCGCGGCCACGCCGUUAAACCCCAACUUCUGAAUGUUGACCUCGGAUCAGGUAGGAAUACCCG